Molecule: ribosomal RNA, 425 nt
Filed under: uncultured bacterium
Lineage: Bacteria
Description: bacterial SSU rRNA
Rfam family: Bacterial small subunit ribosomal RNA
Source: RNAcentral
UGGGGAAUAUUGGGCAAUGGGCGAAAGCCUGACCCAGCAACGCCGCGUGAGGGAAGAAGGGUUUCGGCUCGUAAACCUCUGUCCUAUGGGACGAAGGAAGUGACGGUACCAUAGGAGGAAGCCCCGGCUAACUACGUGCCAGCAGCCGCGGUAAUACGUAGGGGGCGAGCGUUGUCCGGAAUGAUUGGGCGUAAAGGGUGCGCAGGCGGGCCUGUAAGCCCGUGGUGAAAGCCUGGUGCUCAACGCCAGAGGUGCCGCGGGAACUGCAGGUCUUGAGUCGUGACGAGGGCGGCGGAAUGCGAAGUGUAGCGGUGAAAUGCUUAGAUAGUUCGCAGAACGCCGAUUGCGAAGGCAGCCGCCCAGGGACGCACUGACGCUGAGGCACGAAGGCAUGGGGAUCGAACAGGAUUAGAUACCCUGGUAGU